This 90-nucleotide unclassified non-coding RNA is filed under the name Pseudomonas sp. NFACC15-1. RNAcentral also lists the same sequence under 2 other names. Lineage: Bacteria; Pseudomonadati; Pseudomonadota; Gammaproteobacteria; Pseudomonadales; Pseudomonadaceae. The record is from RNAcentral.
UGUGGGAGCGAGCCUGCUCGCGAUAGCGGUGGUUCAGUCAAUGGCGAUGUUGAGUGUGUUGACGCCAUCGCGAGCAGGCUCGCUCCCACA